This 255-nucleotide ribosomal RNA is filed under the name uncultured bacterium. RNAcentral's name for it is "partial 16S ribosomal RNA". It matches the Rfam family "Bacterial small subunit ribosomal RNA", at positions 524 to 776 of the family's 1533-position model. The record is from RNAcentral.
UACGUAGGGUCCGAGCGUUGUCCGGAAUUACUGGGCGUAAAGAGCUCGUAGGUGGUUUGUCGCGUUGUUCGUGAAAAACUCACAGCUUAACUCGUGGGCGUGCGGGCGAUACGGGCAGACUUGAGUACUGCAGGGGAGACUGGAAUUCCUGGUGUAGCGGUGGAAUGCGCAGAUAUCAGGAGGAACACCGGUGGCGAAGGCGGGUCUCUGGGCAGUAACUGACGCUGAGGAGCGAAAGCGUGGGGAGCGAACAGG